UGAAGAUGACUCGAGCUUUAGCAACAUUUCUCGUUGUGAUCGCUUUUUUUAUUCUUACAUCAGGUAUAUUCUUGCUAAGUUCAUUUUUCUUCUUUUAUAUUCCAACGUGUUAAAAAUGAUGUUACAUGAGUAAAACGAAAUUCUCUUACGUUUCGUUUGUUAUCCAAAAAGGUGGCAAGUGUUUGGAUAUUCUAUUUUUCCCAUUUAAUCAAAUGAAAAUGAAUUUGACUAAAGGCCAUAUGUUAGUUGAAGUCAAAUGAAAAAGUUUAUCCACAAGGAGAGAGAUUGUUUAUAUAUGUAGCUAUAUGUAGGGAAAAUACAUGAGUAGACUUGUUCGAAAAAGUGAUUUACACAUUUUAAUUAACUUUAAUAUUUUUUGUGUGUGCAGAAAAUGGAAUGCGUUCAGUUGAAGGUAUUGAAACAGGGAUUUGUGAAAGGUUUGUUCUAGGGGUAAUUUGUCCACCAGAAGAAGAUUCAAGGAUAUGCCUAACAGAGUGCACUAACAUAUCCAGAAGUCAUAACCCCAUUAAUCAUACUUGUUUACAAGGCAAAGAUUCAACUUUCUGCUUUUGUCAGUGGCUCUCAGAUUUAUGUUAAUGGAGAUCUUUUACUUCCAUCAAACAUUCAUUAUUAUUCUCGAUCGAUCGACACUUAAGUACACCAAUCAAUUCUAGAAG
RNAcentral lists this long non-coding RNA (677 nucleotides) under Nicotiana tabacum (common tobacco). Its description in RNAcentral is "long non-coding RNA (NTAB_LNC009459)". The record is from RNAcentral. Lineage: Eukaryota; Viridiplantae; Streptophyta; Magnoliopsida; Solanales; Solanaceae.